GACCCGAAAAGGCUACUCCAGAGAAAUCUGGAUGAGUACGCAAAACUAAAGGGGCUAAAGACAAAAGUCUAUGCUAGCCAGCUUACCGAU
RNAcentral lists this non-coding RNA (90 nucleotides) under Elusimicrobiota bacterium. RNAcentral's name for it is "Elusimicrobia bacterium c-di-GMP sequence". It matches the Rfam family "c-di-GMP-I riboswitch aptamer". From Rfam's summary of the family: GEMM was predicted in a large-scale screen for bacterial structured RNA regulatory elements. Lineage: Bacteria; Pseudomonadati; Elusimicrobiota. The record is from RNAcentral.